CCUACGGGUGGCAGCAGUCGAGCAUCAUUCACAAUGGGGGAAACCCUGAUGGUGCGACGCCGCGUGGGGGAAUGAAGGUCUUCGGAUUGUAAACCCCUGUCAUGUGGGAGCAAAUUAAAAAGAUAGUACCACAAGAGGAAGAGACGGCUAACUCUGUGCCAGCAGCCGCGGUAAUACAGAGGUCUCAAGCGUUGUUCGGAAUCACUGGGCGUAAGGCGUGCGUAGGCUGUUUCGUAAGUCGUGUGUGAAAGGCGCGGGCUCAACCCGCGGACGGCACAUGAUACUGCGAGACUAGAGUAAUGGAGGGGGAACCGGAAUUCUCGGUGUAGCAGUGAAAUGCGUAGAUAUCGAGAGGAACACUCGUGGCGAAGGCGGGUUCCUGGACAUUAACUGACGCUGAGGCACGAAGGCCAGGGGAGCGAAAGGGAUUAGAUACCCUGGUAGUC
Molecule: ribosomal RNA, 446 nt
Filed under: uncultured bacterium
Lineage: Bacteria
Description: partial 16S ribosomal RNA
Rfam family: Bacterial small subunit ribosomal RNA
Source: RNAcentral